GGGAAUGUAGCUUAGUGGUAGAGUGCCUGCCUAGUGCAGGAAGCCCUGGGUUCAAUUCCUAAGUACCA
RNAcentral lists this transfer RNA (68 nucleotides) under Dipodomys ordii (Ord's kangaroo rat). It matches the Rfam family "tRNA". Rfam says of the family: Transfer RNA (tRNA) molecules are approximately 80 nucleotides in length. Their secondary structure includes four short double-helical elements and three loops (D, anti-codon, and T loops). The record is from Rfam by way of RNAcentral. Lineage: Eukaryota; Metazoa; Chordata; Mammalia; Rodentia; Heteromyidae.